UACGUAGGUGGCGAGCGUUAUUCGGAUUUAUUGGGCGUAAAGGGUUCGUAGGAGGUUAUAUAAGUUUGAUGUGAAAUCUCAUGGCUCAACCAUGAAACUGCAUUGGAUACUGUAUGACUAGAGUAUUGGAGAGGUAAGCGGAAUUCCUGGUGUAGCGGUGGAAUGCGUAGAUAUCAGGAGGAACACCGACGGCGAAGGCAGCUUACUGGACAAUUACUGACUCUGAGGAACGAAAGCUAGGGUAGCAAACAGG
This 253-nucleotide ribosomal RNA is filed under the name uncultured bacterium. RNAcentral's name for it is "partial 16S ribosomal RNA". It matches the Rfam family "Bacterial small subunit ribosomal RNA", at positions 524 to 776 of the family's 1533-position model. The record is from RNAcentral.